CGUGGUGGCCCCAGGGGCCAACAUCACUCUCUGGUGCUCAAGGCCCAAGCUGUCUUCCCUUGAAGAGGUGACCUUUACUCUGUAUAAGGCUGAGACCCUUACAGCAGCAGGCCUCAGCAGAGCUCUGGACUAGCUUCCUGAUCCCAUAUGUGAGACCUGAAGACACUGGGAGCUACAGCUGUUCUUACAGGGAAAGGAAAGUAUCUUCUAGAGGAUCAGAGCCCAGUGAGGCCCUGGAGCUGCUGGUACCAGGAUCUCUACCCAAGCCUUCCCUCUCAGCCCUCCUUGGCCUUGUGGUGGAGCCCAGGAUGCAUGUGACUCCCCAGUGCCGCCAGCCUCAUCAGUCAUCCCUCUGGAGGGUGACAUUCACUCUGCUGAAGAUGGGGACCCCCAAGCCCCUGCAGAGCCAGAACUCAGCUGGGACCUCAGCUGCCUUUCCUUUCCUCUCUGUGAGGGCCCAGGAUGCUGGCAACCACAGCUGUGUCUACCACAGGAGGGUGACUUCAUACCAGGUGUCUGAGCCCAGCGAGGUCCUAGAGAUCUUGGUGACAGGACCACCCCUCUCUUCACCUCAACUCACUCCCUUCUCCUCAUCCCCUAUCUUCACCUCCCAAUUCCCAGGAGGCCCUGGAAGCACAGCCAACCCCUGACCAAUAAGUGAAAGGUGGACAUCUGUUAACCUCGACCCUGUCUCUCCUGGCCAGUAUCUCAGAGGCUAUAAUUGUACCUCAUCUGCCUCAGUGGCCAUGUUUUGGGGAAAUGAGGACAAGGAGAAGCAGGCUGCAGGCGCACCUACAGAAAUAUCCAUCAGACAAGCAAGGGAUCCCACGACCUCCAACGUGGUGACAGCCCCAGCUAGUCCUGAUCCCAGGUUCACAGGACCUUCCACAAAGCCCCAACCCUUGCCACUCCAGGCAGAGGCACAGAUUUGUGAGUUAUUAGUACCUCUCAUCUAAGGUGGAGAAGACUGGGCUGGGACCAGAAUCGGGGGGUUUGUGCUGGUCCAUGGGCCCAAAUUUCUUGGUCUCCUUAGAGUUGCCCAAACCCUCUGUCAGUAGCAGCCUUUGUCCGAAUGACUGCUCCCCUAGGUUGCACCACUCUCAGUCAGAUUGCUUAAUGUCUAAUCUCAUCCAGAGUGUCCUGGCCAGGCUCAUCCUCAUUGCCCUAGGACUCUUGCUGUCCAAGGCCAAAGACUACUAGAGUAGCCAUGGAGCAGUGAAGGGACUCCCUGACUGAAUGGAAAGGAAGAUGGUGCAUGUGGGGAUAGGGGUGGGAAUGUCAAAAGGUGGUGCGGAAAGCAAUGAAUAAAUCAUUCACCUAAACCUGGGCA
RNAcentral lists this long non-coding RNA (1330 nucleotides) under Phascolarctos cinereus (koala). RNAcentral's name for it is "lncRNA (ENSPCIG00000014693.2)". Lineage: Eukaryota; Metazoa; Chordata; Mammalia; Diprotodontia; Phascolarctidae. The record is from RNAcentral.